RNAcentral lists this ribosomal RNA (600 nucleotides) under uncultured soil bacterium. RNAcentral's name for it is "bacterial SSU rRNA". It matches the Rfam family "Bacterial small subunit ribosomal RNA", at positions 8 to 652 of the family's 1533-position model. The record is from RNAcentral.
AGAGUUUGAUCCUGGCUCAGAGCGAACGCUGGCGGCAGGCUUAACACAUGCAAGUCGAACGGGCGUAGCAAUACGUCAGUGGCAGACGGGUGAGUAACGCGUGGGAACGUACCUUUUGGUUCGGAACAACUGAGGGAAACUUCAGCUAAUACCGGAUAAGCCCUUACGGGGAAAGAUUUAUCGCCGAAAGAUCGGCCCGCGUCUGAUUAGCUAGUUGGUGAGGUAACGGCUCACCAAGGCGACGAUCAGUAGCUGGUCUGAGAGGAUGAUCAGCCUCACUGGGACUGAGACACGGCCCAGACUCCUACGGGAGGCAGCAGUGGGGAAUAUUGGACAAUGGGCGCAAGCCUGAUCCAGCCAUGCCGCGUGGGUGAUGAAGGCCCUAGGGUUGUAAAGCCCUUUCGGCGGGGAAGAUAAUGACGGUACCCGCAGAAGAAGCCCCGGCUAACUUCGUGCCAGCAGCCGCGGUAAUACGAAGGGGGCUAGCGUUGCUCGGAAUCACUGGGCGUAAAGCGCACGUAGGCGGAUUGCUAAGUCAGGGGUGAAAUCCUGGAGCUCAACUCCAGAACUGCCUUUGAUACUGGCGACCUUGAGUCCGGG